GUCUCUUUGAUAUAUAAUAAUAAGGAGUUGGGCCUGCUCGGUGAUAUUUUUAACAGCUGCGGUAUUAUAACUGUACUAAGGUAGCAUAAUAAUUUGCCUUAUAAAUUAGGGCUAGAAUGAAUGGUUUGACGAAAAUUAUACUGUCUCUACUUUAAUUAUUAGAAAUUAAUUUUUAUAGUGAAAAGCUUGGAUGAUUUAAAGGGACGAGAAGACCCUAUUGAGCUUUAUGUUAAAUAUAUAUAAUUAUAAAAUAUUAUUUAUUUUUUAUUUUGGUUGGGGUGAUCAAGGAAUAAAAUUUUAAUAGUAUAAUUUCCUUAUUAAUAUUAUUUGUUAGAAUAAUAAACCAAAAAUUUUGCUUAAAUGAUAAGUUACCAUAGGGAUAACAGCGUAAUUUUUUUAGAGAGUUCAUAUUAAAAAAAAAGAUUGCGACCUCGAUGUUGGAUUAAAAUAACCAUUAGGUGUAGAAGCUUUAUUUGGUAAAUCUGUUCGAUUUUUAAAAUUUUAC
This 505-nucleotide ribosomal RNA is filed under the name Pareledone charcoti. RNAcentral's name for it is "partial 16S ribosomal RNA". It matches the Rfam family "Bacterial large subunit ribosomal RNA", at positions 1817 to 2599 of the family's 2925-position model. Lineage: Eukaryota; Metazoa; Mollusca; Cephalopoda; Octopoda; Octopodidae. The record is from RNAcentral.